ACUGCCUGUGGAACUGAGGGAAUUCCCACUCCCUUCCAAUCCCUACUCCCUUCUCCAUACUCCUUUUCCUGAGCUCUGGAAUUGCCCGUCUCAUUAUUGUUGCCUCUCCAGCUCUUCCAAACCCUAGGGUUUCAGGCAGCUUCUCCCCUAAAAUGGGACAUAUGUGGAUUGGCGGGGUGGGCUCUAUUCUUCAGAUAAUCACAGCCUCCUCUGGCUACUACACUCUCUCCCCACAGCCCUAUGUGCCAUACUCACUUUGUCCUUGGGGUACUGAGGAGAGGGAUGAAUCACAAUGAACCUGAACUUGCCCCUUCGGGCAACAGGAGAGGAGUCAGUCUGGAGUGCACAGAGCAGGGAAGAUGCUCCUUGCCCAAGUGAAGUCCCUGGGUUAGAGGGUCCUCCUCACAGGAUCUUCUCUGGGCCCCACCUAGAGGGCCCAGAGGGCUGGAGAGAGAUGAACACCGUCCAAGGAGAGACCAGGCCCAAAGUCUCGCGGGAACCAACAAAGAAGGCCAGCAGAAAGCAUCUACAACAUUCAACAUCGAUUCACUCCAUAAGAGACAGUUCCUCAGACUGCAGCUGUGACUCACCUCGCUGUUCUUUUUGCUCUGAUCAUCCAGACCUCUGGAACCUUGUGAAGACUGUGCUGCUGAACCAUCUCCCAAUGAGUUCCCUGAAUGCCAAUGCUAGUACAUCUACUAUGGCCAAGAAUUCCAAAGUGUCAAAGAACAGGCAAACUGUGAAGCUCAAACCAGCUCUUAUCACCAGAUGCUCAGAUGAUGCAUCAGGACCCCAGAAACGGUUCCACCCAUUUCGGGUGCGCUUCGCAGAUGAGAGCCCCAAGGACAUGGCAUUGCGAUACUGGGAGAGAAACUAUGAGUUUCAGAGAAGCCUCCUCAAGAGCCCAACAUCAUGUAAGUCCCCAGAACAGAUAUCAGGGAAACUGGGGAUUUGGAUGGAGAAAGCCCCACGGAGUGGAUCUCAGCAGACAAACACGUGGCGAGAUGAAUUCCUUUGUGCUGGGAGAUUGGACACCUUGCCCAUGUCCUUCCAGGAGCUGUCUGCUGAUAAUCUAAAGAAGAACUCCACCUACAGCUCUCUGCAUACCAGCCCAUUGGCCAGCCUUGACUUCUGUGGUACCAGGCCAUUCCAGGACCAGGCCACCGAUCCCCCUAAGAAGAAUUCCACCUGUAGCUCUCUGCACACCAACACCUCAAGUACCAUUGAUUUCUCUGGUAGCAGGCCAUUCCAAGACCUUCCCACUGAUUCCCCUAAGAAGAGUUCUACCUUCAGCAAUUUGUACGGCAGCACACUGGCUAACAUUGACUUCUCUAGUCCGAGGUUAUUCCAGGAUCUGUCUAUCGAUCCUGCCAAACACACUUCUAAGUUCACCAGCCCAGUAAUCAGCACUGACAGGCCAAGAAGUCAAACUGUCAACACUGGAGCCUCCUCAGUGAGUGAGAACUCUCCUUCCUUGUGGGCUUCCAGAAUGGAUACCUUUAUACCUCACAUGAUGUUGUUGACUAGCCGGAAGGGAGGACAGGCAGGAGCUUAUCAGUUCUUUCCUCCACUUAUCCCACUCAGGACUCAAAGUACCAACCAAGGCAGCUCUGAGCCUCCCAGAUAGACAGCUAGCCAGAGUGGCUCCUGAACAAGGCAACAUGAAGAUCAAACAUGGUGACCCCAGGGACACAGGGGUGGCAAGCAGAAGAGAGGGACAACUUCAGCAGCUCCCUCUGCUCCUUUUCCCCCGACGCUCCCUCUCUCCCCCCAAAUAAAAUUAACUAAAAACAGACA
Phascolarctos cinereus (koala) is the source of this 1797-nucleotide long non-coding RNA. The record is from Ensembl. NCBI's taxonomy places the organism in Eukaryota, Metazoa, Chordata, Mammalia, Diprotodontia, Phascolarctidae.